UGAACGCUAGCGGGAGGCCUAACACAUGCAAGCCGAGCGGUAGAGUUCCUUCGGGAACUUGAGAGCGGCGUACGGGUGCGUAACACGUGUGCAACCUACCUUUAUCUGGGGGAUAGCCUUUCGAAAGGAAGAUUAAUACCCCAUAAUAUAAUGAUUGGCAUCAAUUAUUAUUGAAAACUCCGGUGGAUAGAGAUGGGCACGCGCAAGAUUAGAUAGUUGGUGAGGUAACGGCUCACCAAGUCAAUGAUCUUUAGGGGUCCUGAGAGGGAGAUCCCCCACACUGGUACUGAGACACGGACCAGACUCCUACGGGAGGCAGCAGUGAGGAAUAUUGGACAAUGGGUGAAAGCCUGAUCCAGCCAUCCCGCGUGAAGGAUGACGGUCCUAUGGAUUGUAAACUUCUUUUGUACAGGGAUAAACCUACUCUCGUGAGGGUAGCUGAAGGUACUGUACGAAUAAGCACCGGCUAACUCCGUG
This 477-nucleotide ribosomal RNA is filed under the name uncultured bacterium. Its description in RNAcentral is "partial 16S ribosomal RNA". It matches the Rfam family "Bacterial small subunit ribosomal RNA", at positions 30 to 507 of the family's 1533-position model. The record is from RNAcentral.